This 497-nucleotide ribosomal RNA is filed under the name uncultured bacterium. Its description in RNAcentral is "partial 16S ribosomal RNA". It matches the Rfam family "Bacterial small subunit ribosomal RNA", at positions 28 to 507 of the family's 1533-position model. The record is from RNAcentral.
GAUGAACGCUGGCGGCGUGCCUAAUACAUGCAAGUCGAGCGUACGGACGAGAAGCUUGCUUCUCUGAUGUUAGCGGCGGACGGGUGAGUAACACGUGGAUAACCUACCUAUAAGACUGGGAUAACUUCGGGAAACCGUAGCUAAUACCGGAUAAUAUUUUGAACCGCAUGGUUCAAAAGUGAAAGACGGUCUUGCUGUCACUUAUAGAUGGAUCCGCGCUGCAUUAGCUAGUUGGUAAGGUAACGGCUUACCAAGGCAACGAUGCAUAGCCGACCUGAGAGGGUGAUCGGCCACACUGGAACUGAGACACGGUCCAGACUCCUACGGGAGGCAGCAGUAGGGAAUCUUCCGCAAUGGGCGAAAGCCUGACGGAGCAACGCCGCGUGAGUGAUGAAGGUCUUCGGAUCGUAAAGCUCUGUUAUUAGGGAAGAACAUAUGUGUAAGUAACUGUGCACAUCUUGACGGUACCUAAUCAGAAAGCCACGGCUAACUACGUG